GAUGAACGCUGACAGAAUGCUUAACACAUGCAAGUCUUUGGUGAAGCUGUGCUUGCACAGCCUAGCCAAGGCGGACGGGUGAGUAACGCGUAAGGAACUUGCCCUGCAGUCAGGGAUAACAGACGGAAACGACUGAUAAGACCUGGUAAAGUCAGGCGGACUCAUGUCCAGCCUGAUGAAAAGAGAUGCUGCAGGAGAGCCUUGCGUCCUAUUAGCUUGUUGGUGGGGUAACGGCCCACCAAGGCAAUGAUAGGUAGCCGGCCUGAGAGGGUGGACGGCCACAAGGGGACUGAGAUACGGCCCUUACUCCUACGGGAGGCAGCAGUGGGGAAUAUUGGACAAUGGGGGCAACCCUGAUCCAGCAAUUCUGUGUGCACGAUGAAGGUUUUCGGAUUGUAAAGUGCUUUCAGCAGGGAAGAAAAAAAUGACGGUACCUGCAGAAGAAGCGACGGCUAAAUAUGUG
This 463-nucleotide ribosomal RNA is filed under the name uncultured bacterium. Its description in RNAcentral is "partial 16S ribosomal RNA". It matches the Rfam family "Bacterial small subunit ribosomal RNA", at positions 28 to 507 of the family's 1533-position model. The record is from RNAcentral.